GAUGAACGCUGGCGGCGUGCCUAAUACAUGCAAGUCGAGCGAACAGAUGAGGAGCUUGCUCCUCUGACGUUAGCGGCGGACGGGUGAGUAACACGUGGAUAACCUACCUAUAAGACUGGGAUAACUUCGGGAAACCGGAGCUAAUACCGGAUAAUAUAUUGAACCGCAUGGUUCAAUAGUGAAAGACGGUUUUGCUGUCACUUAUAGAUGGAUCCGCGCCGCAUUAGCUAGUUGGUAAGGUAACGGCUUACCAAAGCAACGAUGCGUAGCCGACCUGAGAGGGUGAUCGGCCACACUGGAACUGAGACACGGUCCAGACUCCUACGGGAGGCAGCAGUAGGGAAUCUUCCGCAAUGGGCGAAAGCUUGACGGAGCAACGCCGCGUGAGUGAUGAAGGUCUUCGGAUCGUAAAACUCUGUUAUUAGGGAAGAACAAAUGUGUAAGUAACUAUGCACGUCUUGACGGUACCUAAUCAGAAAGCCACGGCUAACUACGU
RNAcentral lists this ribosomal RNA (496 nucleotides) under uncultured bacterium. RNAcentral's name for it is "partial 16S ribosomal RNA". It matches the Rfam family "Bacterial small subunit ribosomal RNA", at positions 28 to 506 of the family's 1533-position model. The record is from RNAcentral.